GAUCAUGGCUCAGAUUGAACGCUGGCGGCGUGCUUAACACAUGCAAGUCGCGCGUGAAAGGACUUCGGUCCGAGUAAAGCGGCGCACGGGUGAGUAACGCGUGGAUGAUCUACCCAUGAGUUAGGAAUAACGGCUGGAAACGGUCGCUAAUACCAAAUACGCUCCGAUUUCAACUUCGGGGGAAAGGUGGCCUCUGCUUGCAAGCUACUGCUCAUGGAUGAGUCCGCGUCCCAUUAGCUAGUUGGUGGGGUAACGGCCCACCAAGGCGACGAUGGGUAGCCGGUCUGAGAGGAUGACCGGCCACACUGGGACUGGAACACGGCCCAGACUCCUACGGGAGGCAGCAGUGGGGAAUAUUGCGCAAUGGGCGAAAGCCUGACGCAGCGACGCCGCGUGAGGGGAAUGAAGGUCCUCGGAUCGUAAACCUCUGUCAGGAGGGAAGAACCGCCACGGUGCUAAUCAGCCGUGGUCUGACGGUACCUCCAAAGGAAGCACCGGCUAACUCCGUGCCAGCCGCCGC
This 520-nucleotide ribosomal RNA is filed under the name uncultured bacterium. RNAcentral describes it as "bacterial SSU rRNA". It matches the Rfam family "Bacterial small subunit ribosomal RNA", at positions 15 to 518 of the family's 1533-position model. The record is from RNAcentral.